RNAcentral lists this ribosomal RNA (253 nucleotides) under uncultured bacterium. RNAcentral's name for it is "partial 16S ribosomal RNA". It matches the Rfam family "Bacterial small subunit ribosomal RNA", at positions 524 to 776 of the family's 1533-position model. The record is from RNAcentral.
UACGGAGGAUCCGAGCGUUAUCCGGAUUUAUUGGGUUUAAAGGGUGCGUAGGCGGCCUAUUAAGUCCGGGGUGAAAGACGGUAGCUUAACUAUCGCAGUGCCUUUGAUACUGAUAGGCUUGAAUGUACUUGAGGUAGGCGGAAUGUGACAAGUAGCGGUGAAAUGCAUAGAUAUGUCACAGAACACCAAUUGCGAAGGCAGCUUACUAAAGUAUGAUUGACGCUGAGGCACGAAAGCGUGGGGAUCAAACAGG